Molecule: non-coding RNA, 24 nt
Filed under: Cricetulus griseus (Chinese hamster)
Lineage: Eukaryota; Metazoa; Chordata; Mammalia; Rodentia; Cricetidae
Source: RNAcentral
AAGUUGUUCUGAAUACCCUCUGGC